UACGGGAGGCAGCGGGGGGAAUAUUGCACAAUGGGCGCAAGCCUGAUGCAGCCAUGCCGCGUGUAUGAAAAAGGCCUUCGGGUUGUAAAGUACUUUCAGUCGUGAGGAAGGUGUUAAGGUUAAUAACCUUAGCAAUUGACGUUAGCGACAGAAGAAGCACCGGCUAACUCCGUGCCAGCAGCCGCGGUAAUACGGAGGGUGCGAGCGUUAAUCGGAAUUACUGGGCGUAAAGGGCACGCAGGCGGUUAAUUAAGUUGGAUGUGAAAUCCCCGGGCUUAACCUGGGAAUGGCAUUCAAGACUGGUUAGCUAGAGUCUUGUAGAGGGGGUAGAAUUCCAUGUGUAGCGGUGAAAUGCGUAGAGAUGUGGAGGAAUACCGGUGGCGAAGGCGGCCCCUGGACAAAGACUGACGCUCAUGUGCGAAAGCGUGGGGAGCAAACAGGGAUUAGAUACC
Molecule: ribosomal RNA, 452 nt
Filed under: uncultured bacterium
Lineage: Bacteria
Description: bacterial SSU rRNA
Rfam family: Bacterial small subunit ribosomal RNA
Source: RNAcentral